GUUUCCACUUGGAAGAAAGAUUCACAUCAAAUUGACUGGUCAAGGAAAUGGGACACUGACUGGUGGAGUUAGUGGAACCGAAAAAGAUGUCUCCCUCACAGCGUUUGUGACAAAAGAAUUGCAUCGUUCCUUGGCGGCCUUUCAACAGAAGAAUAUUCAGAGAUUUCCCGAGUGGACACAAUCAUCGCCUUGGAAGCUUCAUCACGAUACUACUUUGCAUUUCUGAAGAGGGAAGAAGAAAUCAACAUGAAAAUUCAAUUCCAUGGUUUUGGAAGUCCCAUUGAGAACACGAUUCAUUUGCGCCGGCAUAAUGCUCUGACCGAGAAAGAAUUGAAGUUUCCACUUGGAAGAAAGAUUCACAUCAAAUUGACUGGUCAAGGAAAUGGGACACUGA
Molecule: long non-coding RNA, 394 nt
Organism: Stegostoma tigrinum
Lineage: Eukaryota; Metazoa; Chordata; Chondrichthyes; Orectolobiformes; Stegostomatidae
Exons: 4
Source: RefSeq, a predicted model, not a curated record